GAUUUUAUUUUUUCUUGAAUAAUCAGUUGAUUUGUUGGCAUUACAUAGAGAUAGCUCUAGAUAAACAUUUCUUGUUCUGGAGAUGUUGAUCAUAAAAUGCUCAUUUUCAUGCAGGAAGAAUUUCCAAGAGAGAAUAAGAAUGGCUCAAUAUUUGUGAAUUUAACCCAUUUUUAAUCAGGAAAACAAACCAAGGAGUAACCGGGAGACUAGUCUCAAGUCUUGAAUGCUUCUCCAUGGAGUAGAGGGACAGAAGACCAACUGAGGCAAAACUACAGUACACCUACACUCAAGCCUACCAAGGAUGAGAAUUCUGAGACUUGCAUUAAAAGGUCUUGCUCGCUGGUGACAGAAUUUCUGGUAUUAUUUUCAAAUCACCUCCUCUGGAUCAGGUUACCAAUCUUCCGGUUUAUAGACAUGUAUCAAGACUUUGUUUCUGUGUUGUUGAGAGUUCCACAAGAUUAUGUGCACAUUAUAGUGUAUUCCAAAAAGG
Molecule: long non-coding RNA, 490 nt
Filed under: Fukomys damarensis (Damara mole-rat)
Lineage: Eukaryota; Metazoa; Chordata; Mammalia; Rodentia; Bathyergidae
Description: lncRNA (ENSFDAG00000024939.1)
Source: RNAcentral